This 580-nucleotide ribosomal RNA is filed under the name Bacillus thuringiensis. Its description in RNAcentral is "bacterial SSU rRNA". It matches the Rfam family "Bacterial small subunit ribosomal RNA", at positions 95 to 663 of the family's 1533-position model. The record is from RNAcentral. Lineage: Bacteria; Bacillati; Bacillota; Bacilli; Caryophanales; Bacillaceae.
GCGGCGGACGGGUGAGUAACACGUGGGUAACCUGCCCAUAAGACUGGGAUAACUCCGGGAAACCGGGGCUAAUACCGGAUAACAUUUUGAACCGCAUGGUUCGAAAUUGAAAGGCGGCUUCGGCUGUCACUUAUGGAUGGACCCGCGUCGCAUUAGCUAGUUGGUGAGGUAACGGCUCACCAAGGCAACGAUGCGUAGCCGACCUGAGAGGGUGAUCGGCCACACUGGGACUGAGACACGGCCCAGACUCCUACGGGAGGCAGCAGUAGGGAAUCUUCCGCAAUGGACGAAAGUCUGACGGAGCAACGCCGCGUGAGUGAUGAAGGCUUUCGGGUCGUAAAACUCUGUUGUUAGGGAAGAACAAGUGCUAGUUGAAUAAGCUGGCACCUUGACGGUACCUAACCAGAAAGCCACGGCUAACUACGUGCCAGCAGCCGCGGUAAUACGUAGGUGGCAAGCGUUAUCCGGAAUUAUUGGGCGUAAAGCGCGCGCAGGUGGUUUCUUAAGUCUGAUGUGAAAGCCCACGGCUCAACCGUGGAGGUCAUUGGAAACUGGAGACUUGAGUGCAGAGAGGAAAGUG